GAUGAACGCUGGCGGCGUGCCUAAUACAUGCAAGUCGAGCGAACAGACGAGGAGCUUGCUCCUCUGACGUUAGCGGCGGACGGGGGAGUAACACGUGGAUAACCUACCUAUAAGACUGGGAUAACUUCGGGAAACCGGAGCUAAUACCGGAUAAUAUAUUGAACCGCAUGGUUCAAUAGUGAAAGACGGUUUUGCUGUCACUUAUAGAUGGAUCCGCGCCGCAUUAGCUAGUUGGUAAGGUAACGGCUUACCAAGGCGACGAUGCGUAGCCGACCUGAGAGGGGGAUCGGCCACCCUGGAACUGAGACACGGUCCAGACUCCUACGGGAGGCAGCAGUAGGGAAUCUUCCGCAAUGGGCGAAAGCCUGACGGAGCAACGCCGCGUGAGUGAUGAAGGUCUUCGGAUCGUAAAACUCUGUUAUUAGGGAAGAACAAAUGUGUAAGUAACUAUGCACGUCUUGACGGUACCUAAUCAGAAAGCCACGGCUAACUACGUG
Molecule: ribosomal RNA, 497 nt
Filed under: uncultured bacterium
Lineage: Bacteria
Description: partial 16S ribosomal RNA
Rfam family: Bacterial small subunit ribosomal RNA
Source: RNAcentral